This 590-nucleotide ribosomal RNA is filed under the name Rhodococcus sp. PR-N14. RNAcentral describes it as "partial 16S ribosomal RNA". It matches the Rfam family "Bacterial small subunit ribosomal RNA", at positions 187 to 788 of the family's 1533-position model. Lineage: Bacteria; Bacillati; Actinomycetota; Actinomycetes; Mycobacteriales; Nocardiaceae. The record is from RNAcentral.
AUGUUUCCCGGGGUGGAAAGGUUUUCCCGGUGCAGGAUGGGCCCGCGGCCUAUCAAGUNNGUUGGUGGGUAACGGGCCCACCAAGGNGACGACGGGUAGCCGGCCUGAGAGGGCGACCGGCCACACUGGGAAUGAGACACGGCCCAGACUCNUACGGGAGGCAGCAGUGGGGAAUAUUGCACAAUGGGCGCAAGCCUGAUGCAGCGACGCCGCGUGAGGGAUGACGGCCUUCGGGUUGUAAACCUCUUUCAGUACCGACGAAGCGCGAGUGACGGUAGGUACAGAAGAAGCACCGGCCAACUACGUGCCAGCAGCCGCGGUAAUACGUAGGGUGCGAGCGUUGUCCGGAAUUACUGGGCGUAAAGAGCUCGUAGGCGGUUUGUCGCGUCGUCUGUGAAAACCCGCAGCUCAACUGCGGGCUUGCAGGCGAUACGGGCNGACUUGAGUACUGCANGGGAGACUGGAAUUCCUGGUGUNUCGGUGAAAUGCGCACAUAUCNUGAGGAACACCGGUGGCGAANGCGGGUCUCUGGGCANUANCUCGACNCUGANGANCGAAAGCGUGGGUNNCNAACANGAUUAGAUACCCCU